Molecule: transfer RNA, 62 nt
Filed under: Marphysa sanguinea
Lineage: Eukaryota; Metazoa; Annelida; Polychaeta; Eunicida; Eunicidae
Description: tRNA-Tyr
Source: RNAcentral
AGUGAGGUGGCCGAGUUUAGGCAAAAGACUGUAGAUCUUUCAACGGAUACUUCCCCUCAUUA